GACGAACGCUGGCGGCGUGCCUAAUACAUGCAAGUAGAACGCUGAAGGAGGAGCUUGCUCUUUCCGGAUGAGUUGCGAACGGGUGAGUAACGCGUAGGUAACCUGCCUGGUAGCGGGGGAUAACUAUUGGAAACGGUAGCUAAUACCGCAUAAGAGUAGAUAUCGCAUGAUAGCUGCUUGAAAGGUGCAAUUGCACCACUACCAGAUGGACCUGCGUUGUAUUAGCUAGUUGGUGAGGUAACGGCUCACCAAGGCAACGAUACAUAGCCGACCUGAGAGGGUGAUCGGCCACACUGGGACUGAGACACGGCCCAGACUCCUACGGGAGGCAGCAGUAGGGAAUCUUCGGCAAUGGACGGAAGUCUGACCGAGCAACGCCGCGUGAGUGAAGAAGGUUUUCGGAUCGUAAAGCUCUGUUGUAAGAGAAGAACGAGUGUGAGAGUGGAAAGUUCACACUGUGACGGUAUCUUACCAGAAAGGGACGGCUAACUACGUGCCAGCAGCCGCGGUAAUACGUAGGUCCCGAGCGUUGUCCGGAUUUAUUGGGCGUAAAGCGAGCGCAGGCGGUUAGAUAAGUCUGAAGUUAAAGGCUGUGGCUUAACCAUAGUACGCUUUGGAAACUGUUUAACUUGAGUGCAAGAGGGGAAAGUGGAAUUCCAUGUGUAGCGGUGAAAUGCGUAGAUAUAUGGAGGAACACCGGUGGCGAAAGCGGCUCUCUGGCUUGUAACUGACGCUGAAGGCUCGAAAGCGUGGGGGAGCAAACAGG
This 766-nucleotide ribosomal RNA is filed under the name uncultured Streptococcus sp. Its description in RNAcentral is "bacterial SSU rRNA". It matches the Rfam family "Bacterial small subunit ribosomal RNA", at positions 28 to 776 of the family's 1533-position model. Lineage: Bacteria; Bacillati; Bacillota; Bacilli; Lactobacillales; Streptococcaceae. The record is from RNAcentral.